Molecule: microRNA, 22 nt
Filed under: Ananas comosus (pineapple)
Lineage: Eukaryota; Viridiplantae; Streptophyta; Magnoliopsida; Poales; Bromeliaceae
Description: microRNA s0598_c83a
Source: RNAcentral
CGUUCUUUCUUCUUGCUUCCCC